RNAcentral lists this ribosomal RNA (490 nucleotides) under uncultured bacterium. RNAcentral's name for it is "bacterial SSU rRNA". It matches the Rfam family "Bacterial small subunit ribosomal RNA", at positions 28 to 504 of the family's 1533-position model. The record is from RNAcentral.
GACGAACGCUGGCGGCGUGCCUAACACAUGCAAGUCGAGCGGGGACAUACGACGGAUAGGAAGUUUUCGGAUGGAAUUGAAGAUGUAUUGUUCUAGCGGCGGACGGGUGAGUAACGCGUGAGCAACCUGUCGCUUACAGGGGGAUAACACAGCGAAAGUUGUACUAAUACCGCAUAACACCACGGUGAGACAUCUUACAGGGGUCAAAGGAGCAAUCCGGUAAGGGGUGGGCUCGCGUCCGAUUAUAUAGUUGGUGAGGUAACGGCCCACCAAGUCGACGAUCGGUAGCCGACCUGAGAGGGUGAUCGGCCACAUUGGGACUGAGACACGGCCCAAACUCCUACGGGAGGCAGCAGUGGGGAAUAUUGGGCAAUGGGGGAAACCCUGACCCAGCAACGCCGCGUGAGGGAAGAAGGUUUUCGGAUCGUAAACCUCUGUCCUUGGUGAAGAGUAAGAGACGGUAGCCGAGGAGGCAGCUCCGGCUAACUAC